ACAAACUUGGUCAUUUAGAGGAAGUAAAAGUCGUAACAAGGUUUCCGUAGGUGAACCUGCGGAAGGAUCAUUAGUGAAUAAACUUGUGUGGGUUGAUGCUGACCUCCUCUGAGGUAUGUGCACACCUGCCAUUGUUUCAUUCUUCCUUCCACCUGUGCACUCGUUGCGGGUCAAGCUGCUAGAUUGCUCAGGUGCCCUAGCACCUGGUUUGAAGGUCUGCAAUUUAUGCUGCCUUUGUGUCUCAUUCAGCUUGACCUGUGUUUUUUAUCCACACCGUUUGUGUAUGUGUUUAGAAUGAUGGACUUGGGUUUGUUUAUCAUCCCAUAAAACAAUUAAACAACUUUCAACAACGGAUCUCUUGGCUCUCGCAUCGAUGAAGAACGCAGC
Molecule: unclassified non-coding RNA, 387 nt
Filed under: uncultured fungus
Lineage: Eukaryota; Fungi
Description: partial contains small subunit ribosomal RNA, internal transcribed spacer 1, and 5.8S ribosomal RNA
Rfam family: Eukaryotic small subunit ribosomal RNA (bases 1-73)
Source: RNAcentral